This 717-nucleotide ribosomal RNA is filed under the name Staphylococcus sp. RNAcentral's name for it is "bacterial SSU rRNA". It matches the Rfam family "Bacterial small subunit ribosomal RNA", at positions 39 to 736 of the family's 1533-position model. Lineage: Bacteria; Bacillati; Bacillota; Bacilli; Caryophanales; Staphylococcaceae. The record is from RNAcentral.
GUGGCAUGCGCGUGCUAUACAUGCAGUCGAGCGAACAGAUAAGGAGCUUGCUCCUUUGACGUUAGCGGCGGACGGGUGAGUAACACGUGGAUAACCUACCUAUAAGACUGGGAUAACUUCGGGAAACCGGAGCUAAUACCGGAUAACAUAUUGAACCGCAUGGUUCAAUAGUGAAAGGCGGCUUUGCUGUCACUUAUAGAUGGAUCCGCGCCGUAUUAGCUAGUUGGUAAGGUAACGGCUUACCAAGGCAACGAUACGUAGCCGACCUGAGAGGGUGAUCGGCCACACUGGAACUGAGACACGGUCCAGACUCCUACGGGAGGCAGCAGUAGGGAAUCUUCCGCAAUGGGCGAAAGCCUGACGGAGCAACGCCGCGUGAGUGAUGAAGGUCUUCGGAUCGUAAAACUCUGUUAUCAGGGAAGAACAAAUGUGUAAGUAACUGUGCACAUCUUGACGGUACCUGAUCAGAAAGCCACGGCUAACUACGUGCCAGCAGCCGCGGUAAUACGUAGGUGGCAAGCGUUAUCCGGAAUUAUUGGGCGUAAAGCGCGCGUAGGCGGUUUUUUAAGUCUGAUGUGAAAGCCCACGGCUCAACCGUGGAGGGUAUUGGAAACUGGAAAACUUGAUUGUAAAAGAUGACAGUGGAAUUCCAUGUGUAGCGGUGAAAUGCCCAUAGAUUUGUUCCGAACGUAAAAGUCGAUAUCGACUUUCUGGUAA